Molecule: ribosomal RNA, 782 nt
Filed under: uncultured Neocallimastigales
Lineage: Eukaryota; Fungi; Neocallimastigomycota; Neocallimastigomycetes; Neocallimastigales
Description: partial large subunit ribosomal RNA
Rfam family: Eukaryotic large subunit ribosomal RNA
Source: RNAcentral
UAUCUCUGUAGAGUCUGCAUAUCAAUAAGCGGAGGAAAAGAAACUAACUAAGGAUUCCCUCAGUAACGGCGAGUGGAGCGGGAGGAGCUCAAAUUUGGAAAUCUUCAAGUGUUCUACCUUUACGAAUUGUAGUUUAAAGAAGUGUUUUCUGUUGAGGCUUUGGUAAAAGGUUCUUUGGAAUAGGACAUCAUAGAGGGUGAGAAUCCCGUAUUUGACCAUUUACUUUCCAACUUUGUGAUACACUUUCAAAGAGUCGGAUUGCUUUGGGAAUGCAGUCCAAAAUGGGUGGUAAAUUUCAUCUAAAGCUAAAUAUUGGCGAGAGACCGAUAGCGAACAAGUACCGUGAGGGAAAGAUGAAAAGAACUUUGAAAAGAGAGUUAAACAGUACGUGAAAUUGUCAAAAGGGAAGCGUUUGACACCAGUGUUGUUUUCUCGAAAAUCAAUUAAAAAAAGUUGGAUUUUGUAUUGUUAAGACCUUAUCAGCUUACUGUACUCUUUUCUUGCUUUUUUUAAUGCACUUUUCGUUUAACAUGUCAACAUCAAUUUCUUUUGUUGUAAAAGAGUCAUUGGAAGGUGGCUUUCACUUCGGUGAAAGUGUUUAUAGCCUUUGGCUUCUGCAAUCGGAGAGAUUGAGGUCUGCAGCGUAGAUCCUUCGGGGCUAGAUACGUAGAUGCUAAGUUAUAGUUUUUUAUAGACAACUUGUUGACUAUAAUUAAUCAUGUAGCUUACUCGUUUAGCGCUAUUUUACCUACGCUUAGGAUGUUGACGAUCAGCUGAGCGCG